UUCCGGUUGAUCCCGCCGGAGGCUACCGCUAUUGGAGUUCGAUUAAGCCAUGCGAGUCGCGAGUCUUAGGGACUCGGCGUACCGCUCAGUAACACGUGGGUAACCUGCCCUAUGCUGGGGGAUAACCUCGGGAAACUGAGAAUAAUACCCCAUAGUUCACCACGCCUGGAACGGUGGGUGGAUCAAAGCUCCGGCGGCAUAGGAUGGGCCUGCGGCGUAUCAGGUUGUAGGGGGUGUAAUGUACCCUCUAGCCCUCUACGCGUACGGGUGUUGAGAGACAUCGCCCGGAGAUGGAUUCUGAGACACGAAUCCAGACCCUACGGGGUGCAGCAGGCGCGAAAACUUGGCAAUGCGAGAAAUCGUGACCAGGGAACUCCAAGUGCAUCGGGUAAGACCGAUGCUUUUCUUGACUCUUCAAAGGUCUUGGAAUAAGGGGUGGGUAAGGACGGUGCCAGCCGCCGCGGUAAUACCGGCGCCCCAAGUGGUAGUCGCUUUUAUUGGGCCUAAAACGUCCGUAGCCGGUCUGGUACAUUCGUGGGUAAAUCAACCAGCUCAACUGGUUGAAUUCUGCGAGCACGGCCAGACUUGGGACCGGGAGAGGUGUGGGGUACUCUCAGGGUAGGGGUAAAAUCCUGUCAUCCUGAGGGGACCACCUGUUGCGAAGGCGCCACACUAGAACGGAUCCGACGGUCAGGGACGAAGCCUAGGGGCACGAACCGGAUUAGAUACCCGGGUAGUCCUAGGUGUAAACGCUGUGGACUUGAUGUUGGGGGCGCUCCGAGCGCACUCAGUGUCGAAGCGAAGGUGAUAAGUCCACUGCCUGGGGAGUACGGUCGCAAGGCUGAAACUUAAAGGAAUUGGCGGGGGAGCACCGCAACCUGAGGAUUGUGCGGUUUAAUUGGAUUCAACGCCGGA
This 915-nucleotide ribosomal RNA is filed under the name uncultured marine archaeon. Its description in RNAcentral is "bacterial SSU rRNA". It matches the Rfam family "Archaeal small subunit ribosomal RNA", at positions 1 to 922 of the family's 1478-position model. The record is from RNAcentral.